CUUGAUGGUGGCUGUGCGCAGGGCGCUCUCGGGCGCGCCGGAUUGCUAGGUCCCCGGUCUACUAACCUGCGAACAGCCGCCACCCUU
RNAcentral lists this non-coding RNA (87 nucleotides) under Pseudomonas sp. SJZ077. RNAcentral also lists the same sequence under 1 other name. Lineage: Bacteria; Pseudomonadati; Pseudomonadota; Gammaproteobacteria; Pseudomonadales; Pseudomonadaceae. The record is from RNAcentral.